AGAUAGUUAGGCUCCCAAUGAAGGCGAGUCAAAAAAAAAAAUUGAGCCACUGAGCAGUCAAGCUGCCAGAAAAUUGAAACUGCUGCAAGGCCCCGAGAUGACAGAGCUACUGAAACUAUAAGGAUGAAAAAAGUCAAAGUGUAUGAUGGAUGCAUGCUCAGAUCCCAUCGCAUCAGAUGGAGCAAUCAGAAGGAUUCCUUAUUUUACUGCCAUGUUCCUUUGACCAGAUUUUUAAAAAACAUGGAGAAACCAUGGAAAGAAAGGAAAUACAAGAUAAAAGAUCACCUCAGAAACAAAGAAAUGCGGUUCCGUCUGCUUGAAGUGUCUCCCAUGUAAAUUGAGCAAGGUGUGAUCAUGCAGGCCAGGCAAACAAAGCCAUCAGGAGAACAUGUGGGGAGAAAAUGAUCACUUAACAUCUCAAUGGGGGAUGGAGACUGCACUCCCAGGAAGCCUUCCUGCCUCUUGAAACAGGGUCAAUAAACUUUGAAGGAGAUAAUUUUCAAUGGUUUUCUGGCCUAUAAAGAGAGGGGCAGAGAACCCCUAAAUUGUCCUUCACCCAAGGAGAUAAGAAAAACCAGCACCUUUGACUCUCUGGGGAUCCUGACUAAGAGCUCGUCAACCAUUGCUGGAAAAGGAAGAUUGGUGAGGAAACCACCUUGAACGAAGACUGUAGCUUGUUAAGUGAAGGCUUAGGUACUAGAAAGGUACUUUUGUUUGUUUGAAACCCUGUCUAUCUUUAUCCCUUAUAUUUGAACUCAAAACUCUCUCUUUAUGAUUGAAUAAACUUGUUUUAUUUUUU
Molecule: long non-coding RNA, 799 nt
Organism: Chrysemys picta bellii (western painted turtle)
Lineage: Eukaryota; Metazoa; Chordata; Testudines; Emydidae
Source: RefSeq, a predicted model, not a curated record